CAGUCGCCGCGGUAAUACGGAGGGAGCUAGCGUUGUUCGGAAUUACUGGGCGUAAAGCGCACGUAGGCGGUUAUUCAAGUCAGAGGUGAAAGCCCGGGGCUCAACCCCGGAACUGCCUUUGAAACUAGAUGACUGGAAUCUUGGAGAGGUCAGUGGAAUUCCGAGUGUAGGGGUGAAAUUCGUAGAUAUUCGGGAGAACACCAGUGGCGAAGGCGACUGACUGGACAAGUAUUGACGCUGAGGUGCGAAAGCGUGGGGAGCAAACAGGAUUAGAUACCCCCGUAGUCCCUGUCUCUUAUAC
RNAcentral lists this ribosomal RNA (301 nucleotides) under uncultured bacterium. RNAcentral's name for it is "partial 16S ribosomal RNA". It matches the Rfam family "Bacterial small subunit ribosomal RNA", at positions 509 to 807 of the family's 1533-position model. The record is from RNAcentral.